Molecule: ribosomal RNA, 305 nt
Filed under: uncultured bacterium
Lineage: Bacteria
Description: bacterial SSU rRNA
Rfam family: Bacterial small subunit ribosomal RNA
Source: RNAcentral
AGUUCCUACGGGAGGCAGCAGUAGGGAAUCUUCCACAAUGGGCGAAAGCCUGAUGGAGCAACGCCGCGUGGGUGAAGAAGGUCUUCGGAUCGUCAAACCCUGUUGUUAGAGGAGAAAGUGCGUGAGAGUAACUGUUCACGUUUCGACGGUAUCUAACCAGAAAGCCACGGCUAACUACGUGCCAGCAGCCGCGGUAAUACGUAGGUGGCAAGCGUUAUCCGGAUUUAUUGGGCGUAAAGGGAACGCAGGCGGUCUUUUAAGUCUGAUGUGUAAGCCUUCGGCUUAACCGCAGUAGUGCAUUGGUA